CUCACAAGCCGGUUUUGUAAGGUUGAGUUAGACCUCAAAUUUCAACAUGGUAUCAGAGCCAUUGAACCACAUGCUAUCAGGUUUCCGCUAUCGGGCCACCCCCCAUUUAUGUCUACGAACCAAACCUAAUAGUGCUGAUCGUGAGGGGGUGUGUUAAGAGUCCCACAUCGGAUAGGACAUGGUCUGACAAUAUAUUUAUAAAGUUGAGGCCUAACUCAACCUUACAAAACCGGCUUGUGAG
This 241-nucleotide microRNA precursor is filed under the name Glycine max (soybean). Its description in RNAcentral is "miR1527 stem-loop (gma-MIR1527)". The record is from miRBase by way of RNAcentral. Lineage: Eukaryota; Viridiplantae; Streptophyta; Magnoliopsida; Fabales; Fabaceae.